AAAAUUCAAGGAAAUAAUUAAUUAAAUAGAGCUUUGAGAAAUUUAAGGAGAAAUUUGAGAGCUUUGAGAAAUUUAGGGAGAAAUUUGAGAGUUUUUUGUUAAAUUUUGAAAAAAAUUUGUGUGAAAUAAUAAGAGGAGGUUUUUAUAUUUUUUUUUACAGUUGGACCCCCCAACGGUGAAAAAAAUAGCUGUUGGGGAAAAAAAUACGGAGCAAAACGUGCCCCUGGAGGAGAGUUUUUGCCACGUUAGCAAAGAGCUUCCAUGUCAGCGCAUUUUGUGCUGAGAUGGCAAAAACGCUCCUCAAGAGCGCGAUUUGCUGGAAAUUUCACCCUAAAACGCUCUUACGUGAAUGCAUUUUGCCAAAAUC
RNAcentral lists this long non-coding RNA (367 nucleotides) under Gossypium barbadense (sea-island cotton). RNAcentral describes it as "long non-coding RNA (GBAR_LNC020544)". The record is from RNAcentral. Lineage: Eukaryota; Viridiplantae; Streptophyta; Magnoliopsida; Malvales; Malvaceae.